Molecule: long non-coding RNA, 3832 nt
Filed under: Sus scrofa (pig)
Lineage: Eukaryota; Metazoa; Chordata; Mammalia; Artiodactyla; Suidae
Description: lncRNA (ENSSSCG00025054393.1)
Source: RNAcentral
CUUUUAGGGCCGCGCCUGUGGCAUAUGGAGGUUCCCUGGCUAGGAUCUAAUCAGAGCUGUUGCUGCCCUCCUACACCACAGCCACAGCAAUGCCAGAUCUGUGCCGCGUCUGUGACCUACACCACAGCUCAUGGCAACGCCAGGUCCUUAACCCACUGAGCAAGGCCAGGGAUCAAACACGCAACCUCAUGGUUCCUAGUCGGAUUCGUUUCCGCUGAGCCACGAUGGGAACUCCUGGAUGGCUACUUUCGAUUGGGUAGUGAAGGAAGGCUUCUGGAGGUGGUGAUGUUAUUUUGAGAUCUAAAUGGCAACAAAGAGCCAUCAAAGGGUUUGUUUGCGUGAGGGAGGGAAGGCCAGGGAUUGAAUGCAGAGGGAAUCCAAGGUGUGACCUCCAGAAAAGACCCCAAGGAGUGAGCAAGCACUUUCUGCUCUAGAGACAGUAAGUCAGGAGACGGCUAGAAAGCAGUGAUCAAAGAGGAGAGAGGGACGAGAAGAGGCUGGACAGGUGGGAGGGGCCAGGCCAGGUGGGACUCUGCGUCAGCAUAGUUUGGGUUUCAUACCCAGUGAAUCGUCAAACCAUGUGAGGUUUCAAGCAGGGAUUGUCGUGGUCUGGUGUACAUUUUAGAAAGACCGUUCUAUACUCAGAGGUAUCCAGACAAAGCCUCGCCCUGAUGGACAUGGCCUAUAUCUCCAUGGUCAAAUGCAACAGCCAGUGGCCACAGGUGGCUACUAGGCACUUGACAGGUGGACAGGGUGACUGAGAAACUAAAUUUUAAAUUUUAUUCUAUUUGAAUUAAUUUAAUUACCUACACAGAGCUGGUAGCUACUGUGUGGGUCCACAUACCUUAAUUGCAUGGAGAAUACGAUUAACUCUGGAGCAACACAGGAGUAAGGGGCUAUGAUCCUACGACCCUCCACACAGUUGUAACUCUGCAUAGAACUUCUAGUUGGCCCUCUGCAUCCUUGGUGCCUUUGUAUCCCGGGUGGGUCCGUAUCCACAGUUCUGCAUUAGUGGACUCAACCAUGACCGACCACUACUGAUAUAUUCACUACCGGGAAAAAAAUCGACCUCUCAGUGGACCCUCACAGUUCAAACUCGUGUUGUUCAAGGGUCAACUGUAAUUAUAUGAGGCCAAGAGAGGACGCAUAAAGAUGACUCAGGAGGCUCUUACAGCGGUUGGUGGUGGUGGUGGGGUGAUUGACAGCAGGGGGAAGAUAUGGAGGAAAGUGGCGAGCUGGGACUAUCUCUUAGGAUGGAGCCAGGAGGGUGAGCAGAGAAAAUGGGAAGCAAGGAGCCAGAGAUGCUCCUGGACUUUUUGUUUGAGCAACAGAGUGGAUGGGGGCGCCACUUUGAUAUGAGGAAGGUUAAGGAAGAAGCAAGUUUAGGGAAGGAAACAAAAACUCAACAAUUACCACGCAAAAAAAAAAACUUGUUCCUCCCAGCUUGUCCUGUAGCAAGUUACUCUGGACAUUUGGACCUUCAAUGUCAGCUCCAAUGUCACCAACUCUGGGGCAGCACGUAAGACUCACCCCACUCCAUCUCUCGUGCGCUCCCCUAUGUGGUCCUGUCACUUUCUUUUCUGCAUUUAAAUAUCUGCAAUUAUUUGAUCAUUUGACUAAUGCACUGCCUCCCUCUUCUCUAAACUGGAAACUCUCUUCUUAUGGGUCCUCAGCCCCCACACUUGCCUGACACGGUACCUGGCAAAGAGCAGGUACUUAAAUAUGUAUUUUGAAUUAAUUAAAAAGACAAGGACAAAUACCUUUAUUUUGGGGCGGGGGAAAAGACUGGCUGAAGCCACAAGGGUAUGUUUCCAGGGUGAAUCUGUGUGUCUCAAAAUAAAUAAAAUAGUAGAAAAAAAUAGUAAAAAGCAAUGUGUACUCACACACCUGGUAUAAAUGGAUAAAUUCUGUUUGGGUUUAUUAACCUGUACCCCUUUCAUAUAGAAAACGGAAUAUCAUUUCCAGGUAAUAAUCACCUCCUCUGACAGGUACAAAAGUGAGACGCAAGACAUGAUUCCCAGUUCUAUGGUCUUAUUUCUCAUCCAGAGUUACUGAGGAGGGCAGAGGGUGUGAAAAAUGAAAACAAGGUAAUGUCAGGCUGCCAUCUUUUUUUUUUUUUUUUUUUUUUACUGUGCAAUUGUGACAAAGUCAAGGAGCCUCUCUGGUCUCCACUCCCCAACCCCCUGCCCUGCUGCAUACACCCGGUGACCCUCUACUCUCUAUCAACCAAGACCUCGAGACAUAGUCUCACCAACUUCAGCAAAGUCAUAUGACCCCCACAUUUUUGAGCAGACCUUUACCUUUCAGUCUGGCAAGCAGGAAUUGCACACAACUUUGGUAUUAUUUCCCACAUUCUCCUUUCCUCGCAGACCUAAUUCUCUCUAUAAAUGCACUGCACCCAACGCACACACUCAUGCACAAUGCCACACCCACAGCCACAUGCAGAGCUCUCUGCAGCUUCCUUCACUCUGCACUGACUCAACAGUCGUGAGAACACAUUUCUUUUUCCUCUUCACAGGCUCCCGAAAUGAGAUCGUUUCUGCUAAAAGCAAUCCUAAGCGCUGGGUGAACAACUCCAGAAAAUUAGUACAAGUUCCACUAAGGCUGGAGAUGGAAAGGAAAAAAUUCUGUUCAAUUUUGACUGUAUUCACAUUACCCACAACAGGGAACACGCCUCUCAUUCUUCUCGCUAAUUCCAGUUCUUCCCAAAAAUUAAAACAGAAGCUAUUCCCGGCACCACCCGAUAUGGUCAUUUCUGUUUGCCAUCAGUAAUCACUCCACAUCAAGAAUUCUCCUCACUUUUGGAAGCAUGAUUCCUCAUCAGAGCUACUGCAACAUCUCGAUUUCCAAUGGAAAUUAUGGACAACAUUAAAAAGAGAGAGAGAGAGUGCUAGAAUGUAUUAAAGAUUUAACCAUGAGUCAUUACAGACAUUGAAAGAAGGUGUAUUUGUGCCAGCCCUGAGCCGGAUAUAUAGAUAUUCUGAACAAGGAAAUAAUUUGAGGACUAUCUGAUCCAGAAUAAAGGACAAGAAGCAGAAAAUAUCAGAUAUGGAAAACAAUACUGUUUACUAUUGAUCUGAAAAUAACUGAAAUGAAUAAUUGUUCUAUCUAAUAUCCACUGCGCUUUGACACAGCAAUUCGAAGCUAUUUUUGCAAAGAGUUUUUAAUAGCAUGAGGAAAGUGCACAUUAUAUGGUCAAAUGAAAAAGAAAGGAAGAUGCAUGAUAAUACAUACAACAUGAUUUCAAUUAUAUGAAAAUGCACAGAUAACCCUAAAGGGAAAAUACACAAAAAUACUAACCAUGGUUAUCAUUGGGUAGGUCAAAAAAUACAUGCAUCCUUGUUUUCCUAGUCCUACUUUUCCACUUCCGAAUUUUGUGAAGUAGGUACACAGUAAUUUUUAACAAAACCUUUUAAAUUCAGAAAAUAUUUAUUUGAAAAUAAAGUUGAUCUAAAAUGCAUUAACUCUUUCGGUUUUGUGAAAAAGUUUUCUGUAAAAGCUUUUGUCCAAGUGUCCUUGUGGCCAUAUGAUGUUUGAGGAAACAAGACAGAAUUGCCCCAGAGCCCAAUACCUAACCUCAAGUUCAAGGGGAGCUGGCUAAGGAUCUAGCCAACACUGUCUUAGGGGAGCUAUGGUGGAAUGGGGAGUCUGGCAGCCUGGCUUGUCCCCCCAGGGAGCCCAAGGGAAUCCACACAGAAGGCUACAGUAUCCACAAUUAUCAGUUCAAUGCACCAAAAACAGGCAGGGGGUGCUGACUUAGAUAUGAUCAUAAAGCACUUGGUCUUUCCUGCCCUUCAUUUCAUGCAGUCUCUCCUCCUCUACAAACAAAAUC